This 332-nucleotide unclassified non-coding RNA is filed under the name soil metagenome. RNAcentral describes it as "partial contains 5.8S ribosomal RNA, internal transcribed spacer 2, and large subunit ribosomal RNA". The stretch from base 1 to 120 matches the Rfam family "5.8S ribosomal RNA", at positions 35 to 154 of the family's 154-position model. The record is from RNAcentral.
GAUGAAGAACGCAGCGAAAUGCGAUAAGUAAUGUGAAUUGCAGAAUUCAGUGAAUCAUCGAAUCUUUGAACGCACAUUGCGCCCGCCAGUAUUCUGGCGGGCAUGCCUGUCCGAGCGUCAUUUCAACCAUCAAGCCCCGGGCUUGUGUUGGGGACCUGCGUCCGACGCAGGCCCUGAAAACCAGUGGCGGGCUCGCUGUCCACACCGAGCGUAGUAACUAACCUCGCUAUGGAGUGGCGCGGGCGCCUGCCGUAAGACCCCCAAUUUCACAAGGUUGACCUCGGAUCAGGUAGGAAUACCCGCUGAACUUAAGCAUAUCAAUAAGCGGAGGA